UCCGACCCUAGAGACACUGCGGGUGUGGCUGCUGCAACACUUGUUUCAGUAGUUGGCAGAGAGAGAGAGCCUUUGUCUACACUUGGUGUUCUGACCUAUAAACAUCUGAAUAACAAAUAGGCUAGCAUU
Rattus norvegicus (Norway rat) is the source of this 129-nucleotide small nucleolar RNA. Ensembl annotates it as small nucleolar RNA SNORA17. NCBI's taxonomy places the organism in Eukaryota, Metazoa, Chordata, Mammalia, Rodentia, Muridae. The record is from Ensembl.